Molecule: ribosomal RNA, 479 nt
Filed under: uncultured bacterium
Lineage: Bacteria
Description: bacterial SSU rRNA
Rfam family: Bacterial small subunit ribosomal RNA
Source: RNAcentral
GACGAACGCUGGCGGCGUGCCUAACACAUGCAAGUCGAACGAGGUCCAUCCUUCGGGAGAAGACCUAGUGGCGAACGGGUGAGUAACACGUGAGGAACCUGCCCCGAAGACCGGGAUAACCCUCCGAAAGGAGAGCUAAUACCGGAUACCCCCACCGAGCCGCAUGGUUUGGUGAGGAAAUGGAUUCCGCUUCGGGAGGGCCUCGCGGCCUAUCAGCUAGUUGGUGGGGUAACGGCCCACCAAGGCAUCGACGGGUAGCUGGUCUGAGAGGACGAUCAGCCACACUGGGACUGAGACACGGCCCAGACUCCUACGGGAGGCAGCAGUGGGGAAUCUUGCGCAAUGGGCGAAAGCCUGACGCAGCAACGCCGCGUGGGGGAUGAAGGCUCUCGGGUUGUAAACCCCUUUCAGCAGGGACGAAUCAAGACGGUACCUGCAGAAGAAGCCCCGGCUAACUACGUGCCAGCAGCCGCGGUAAU